GCCAAGUGUCCAGCCCAAAGCCAGAGGAAGCCCUUCAAGGCCCCAGACCUGGGGGAGGCUCCAGAGACUCCAGAGCCCCUGGUUCUGGGAAAAGCUGUGCAGAAUGGGGAACAGAGAUGGGAAGAUCUGAAGAUCAACAGCCAGAUGGAGUGGUUGAGAGCCAGGAGUUUGGGAGAAGACCCUGGUUCAGUCUUCAAUGAACCCCAAUUCUGAAGGAGGAAAGGGAACCCAGGCCCCUCCUGGUCUCAGGGGAAAGAGAACACAUACGUCGUAGUUACAGGAAACACCAAUCUGACAGGAGAGGUAGAAAGCCAAGCCUGGUCCUCUGGUGUCCCUAGUCUGAAUGGGGAAUAGAAGAAGCAUGGACCUCAUCCUUUGGGAGCCCCUGUCUGAGUGGAGGAAGGGAAACCUAUGCCCUAUCGUCAGUAAAACAUCUCCCCUUGGAAUGGCAAGCAAGGCCUCUGUGAAGGAGCCAAAGCUGAACCAGAGUGUGGAGCACUGGCCCAGAGCUGCAGAAACUUAGUGACUGAGGUGGGGUCAAGAGUGAGCCAGGGAUCAGCUGCCAUCUGAGAAGACUUCUGGAGCCAGGGCACUGCUGGGCAUCCAAGCUGGGGACAGUGUGGUGUUUGAGCUGGUGACCUGGUGCUGAGACACAGGGAGUGUGGUUGCUGGUCUGCAGACUAUGAGGACACCUGCCAGGUGCAUGGUGGACAGUUAAGUCCGGGGAGCAUCUGGAGCUGGGCAGUCCCUCAGCUGUGGGGACACCACAUAGGAUUUGGUUGCCCAAAACUAGCUCUGGUAAUAGAACUGUCCUCUAGAGGGUGCCAAUAGACCAAGCCAGUCUGGAUCUGAAUUUUCCAGUCCCUACCACAAACUGCCCACAGGUCACUCUGCAGGGAGAGGGCUUCCUGGCCAGAAGCUGUCCUUAAGGAGCAAAGUCUUCCGCUGCUGCCCCCUAAGGCUGAGGCUCUGCCCCUCACUUCACCCUGCAGACUCAAGCAGGCUCAUUGUAAUGCGUCCUUCCUUCAGGAAGAGAGAGAUGAGAGGUACCCCUGGACAUUGGAGACACCUGCCUUUACUCCUUUCCUGUGUGUGUACUGUCAAGGUCAGGAUGAGCCAUGGAAGCCCUACCAAGUGUGAGGUGCCUUGAUGUGCCAUGGAGAGAAAGUCACAGUCCCAGAGCUGGAUGGCUUACAUGCCACAUACGGAAGCUGAUGAGUAAAACAAGAAGGUACAAUGUAGAUAUGAGAAGUAAUAAGCACAGGAGCCUGUGGGAGUUGAGAAGAGGUGACAUCAGGGAUGCGUUCCUGGUGGAAGGGACAUCUACUCUAACAACUGAAAGCUUCUUCCACAGCUGACCUCAUUAGAAGUUUCUGAGUCCUCUAAUGCUCUGUCAUAACCUUCCCUGAAAAGAGAAAGGAAGGUUACCUCAGUCUAAAAUGAAGGCAUGGCCAAGGUAGUCAAGGGAAAGGAGCUUGAAAGGGAUCAGCCUCCUCAAGUCUGGAUACAGCAAGCCAUCUCCCCGAUUCCUUCUCCCCCUUCUCAGGAAAUUCAGGAUCCGUGGAAGGAAUCUGAGGCAGAAGAGGAUGUGGAAUUAAAUGACCUUAAAAAAAAACAGCCUUCAGCAUCUCUGUCCCACCACCACCUCCUCCUCCCCAAUUCUGCAGGAAAAAUCAUAAGGUGACAUUUAUUGACUA
Molecule: long non-coding RNA, 1697 nt
Organism: Suricata suricatta (meerkat)
Lineage: Eukaryota; Metazoa; Chordata; Mammalia; Carnivora; Herpestidae
Exons: 5
Source: RefSeq, a predicted model, not a curated record